AGCUCCAAUAGCGUAUAUUAAAGUUGUUGCGGUUAAAAAGCUCGUAGUUGGAUCUCGGCGGGUAGAAAGCGGUACACUGCUAAGUGUUACUGCCUUUUUUCCCGUCGUUUUUUCUCGAGGUUUUAGGGGGCUCUUAAUCUAGUGUCCUUGGAUGCUAGCAGGUUUACUUUGAAAAAAUUAGAGUGCUCAAAGCAGGCUACUACGCUUGAAUAUUCGUGCAUGGAAUAAUAGAAUAGGAAGUCGUUUCUAUUUUGUUGGUUUUCGGAAAUCGACUUAAUGAUUAAUAGGGACAGUCGGGGGCAUUUGUAUUCAAACGACAGAGGUGAAAUUCUUGGACCGUUUGAAGACAAACUACUGCGAAAGCAUUUGCCAAGAAUGGUGUCA
Molecule: ribosomal RNA, 384 nt
Filed under: marine copepod environmental sample
Lineage: Eukaryota; Metazoa; Arthropoda; Copepoda
Description: partial small subunit ribosomal RNA
Rfam family: Eukaryotic small subunit ribosomal RNA
Source: RNAcentral